ACACCCCUAGAGGUUCUGCAGGUGUGGCUUCUGUGUCCCAUGUGCAUCAGUAGGUAGUUGAGAAGACACAGGCUAUGUCUACACUCAGUGUUCUCACUUGUAAACAUCUGAAUGAUUUAGUAGCCUAACAUU
This is a small nucleolar RNA of Acomys russatus (golden spiny mouse), 132 nucleotides long. RefSeq annotates it as small nucleolar RNA SNORA17. Lineage: Eukaryota; Metazoa; Chordata; Mammalia; Rodentia; Muridae. The record is from RefSeq and is a predicted model, not a curated record. The transcript has a single exon.